Molecule: transfer RNA, 65 nt
Filed under: marine eukaryotic metagenome
Rfam family: tRNA
About the family: Transfer RNA (tRNA) molecules are approximately 80 nucleotides in length.
Source: RNAcentral
CUGUAGCUCAGUCGGAUAGAGCACUGGCCUUCUAAGCCAGGUGUCAUGGGUUCGAAUCCCCUCAG